RNAcentral lists this unclassified non-coding RNA (5239 nucleotides) under Camponotus floridanus (Florida carpenter ant). RNAcentral describes it as "probable protein phosphatase CG10417, transcript variant X2". The record is from RNAcentral. Lineage: Eukaryota; Metazoa; Arthropoda; Insecta; Hymenoptera; Formicidae.
AUGAGAAGUUUAAUUUUGAUUGCGAGUCGAGAAUAAGGGAGAAAUAAAAAUUAAAAAAGUUUGCAAAAUUACUGCCGUAAUUCGAUUACUAUAUGAGAAUUUCACGACACAAAUGUCCCUUUGCUUUUUAAAGAUUAAUUUAGGGAACGAGAGAGAAACUUGAAAACUUUUAUUUCUUUUUUUUUCUUAUUUUCUUAAUAGCAUAUUCCUGAAAUUAGAUUUGUCUCUCUCAUUUAAAAAUACCACUUAGAAAAGUCAAUCGAAAGCGAAUUCCUUGAAUGGCGCGUCUAACAGUUUGUAUCGGACAAAUAAUGACUUCUAGAUGAACGGAUCAAACUAGAUAAUUAAAAUUGAUAGUUGUAAGAUUACGUACACUUGUACCGCUUGCCGUUUGGACACUUGCCAUCGACCUGCUACUUCGCAACUUGUCGCGAAAUAGGAUCAACGCGCGAAUAAAUUGAAUGAAAUCUUUCGGUGCGCACGCGAUGCGUUAUUAUAUAAUUUAUUACUUAACUUAUUUAACUCGAUUAAUACCAGAGUGCUGAAAGUUCCAUCCCGUUUCAUUGUAAAUCUUACAUUAUAACAAAUUUUAAAAAAGUAAAAAAAAAUUAGGGAAGAUAAAAAUGGCACACUUUUUAAAUUUUGAGUUUCCAAUUGCAUAUGCAAAUUACAUGUAAAUUGUAUAAUAUUUAACUUCGUCAAUUUUCUGAUGAUUUUCCAUUGUGAAUUUUACAUUAUAACAAAUUUAAAAAAAAGUAAAAAAAAAUUAGGGAAGAUAAUCGCAAAAAUGGCAUCAUUUAAAAAAUUUUGAGUUUCCAAUUGCAUGUGCAAAUUACAUGUAAAAUGCAUAUAAUAUUUAACUUCGUCAAUUUUCUGAUGACUUUACUCAUUCAGCGAAACGACUUGUCCAUGCGAGGGAACAUUAUUUCGCGUGUCUAGAGAGAGAAAAAGGGAGAGAGAUUGACUAGUAGUAAAAUCGGUCCCUUGUAACUACAUGUAUACCAGCAGUAGACGACGGAGCGUCGAGUCAGACACGGCGCUUGGUGGGGCGACAGUUAAAUAGCUGCCUAACGGGCUUUGCGUGAUAACGGACAAACGGAAAGAGUUUAAUAUAUAUCGCGAGUAUAUAUACAUAAUUAAUAAUACUCAUUUGCCCAACAAUUCUUACAUUCUCGCUGCGGAGUAAACUUUCCUCGGAUAUUUUAUGCACGAAUCCCCUCGUGUGAUUGUCCCGCGACACGAGUUAAAGAAAAAUAAUAACCGCUAACGGGGAGAACCGCACGAAAAUUUUUCCAAUUUAAUUUCGAUUAAACAAUCAUCCCGUAAUCGCCCGACUACGCAGUAACAGGAGCGUCUGAAACCGCAAGAAGAUUCACAAUAGCGGAGCAAGAGCUUCGAGAUCGAUAUACGGCGCUUCGUUUAAUCGGUCGAGAUAUAAUCUAUCGAGAACCCGCGAAUGUUCACAUCCAUAUCGAGCAGUCGAGACAACUUAAGCCUAACAUCAAGAGAGCUCCAAAUCCUCUUAUCUGCGACACGUCGUACGCGCGUUAAGCAUCCGGAAUUAGCAGCGCGCGUGCUGCUGUCAUGCACCGCUUUAAACCAAUUCCAAUAUCGUCAUAUCGGACGUUAACAGACGAGAAUAUAUAGCUCACUUGGCAGAAAUGAUCGCGCGACCGACAUAAAUAAACAUAAGUAACAUACCUGAUCGGGCCGAUCCAAGGUCAGGUCACCAGGCCGGGAAUACACGAUGUUAACUUAUCCUCGUCUCUUCUUUCGGGGCUGUCGUGUCCACGGAUGUUGCGACGUAAAAGCCAACGAAGCCGGCUGCAGCGAUCGAGACGAGACGUCGUUGAAGGGAUGAGAGGCGAUGAAGCGCGGGGAUGAAGCGGGGCAGCGAGAGAGGCUUCGCCCCCGUUUCUGCGACGAGGACAACGAUCGACUUCACUGCCGCUCGCGGCGAACGCUCGCCAGCGAGCGAGGGCGCGCGAGGGACUGCGGGGUGAAAAAUCUACUCGCUACUCGACGACGACGUACUCGCGCCGCGUAUCCGCUGCGACGUCUGACGACGAUCGUCGCGGUGCGCGGAGCAUUCGCGACCGACUGUACGACCCGACCUAACCUCCCCGAGCUUCGCCGAACGACUGGCGGGCUUGAGCUUGAGCGCCCGGCGCGCGCGUUCCGAUUAUCCCCUCCACUCGCCACCUUUCUCCCUCCCUCCUAACGGUAUAAAUUUGUACUCGCGCUGCCACUUCGCGCCGCUGGAGGGAAGAGCGGGACAUUUAAAGAGAUUCAAAUAUUUUUUGACGAUAAUAUUUGAUGUUUAUAUUUAAAAAAAAAAAGGAAAAAUCUUUCAAUAUCAAGGAGCGUUUUUUAGCGAGGAUAUUUUUAUCCUUGUUGGUUGCCGAAUGUAAACAAAGAUGAAAUAAUUGAAUGUUUUAUGUCACUGUGUCCUCUUUUAUACUCUGUCUCGUUUGCUGAAGAACGCUCGAUUCAAUGUUUUAAAUAAAUAUAUACGUACAUACCGUUGUUGAACGAACAUUAUAUAUUAUUGAACUUGACAUAAGCACAUUGACGAUUCAUAAACAAUACAUUAGUCGCGAUCGUUAUUCUCUUAGUUUAGUCUCUAAUAAAUAUACGUAAACAAUAAUAUGAAGAAAUAUAAAAACGUUCUUGCUUGAAUAAAAGUCGCGGAUAGUAUAAAGAAAUCUAAAGACAUUGUAAAAUAAUAAAAACACUGUUGUUUGAAAUAAAAGUCGCGGAUGGAGUUGGCGUGGAUGCAGUGGCCAUGACUAUUUUUCUCUAGAGCGGAAUGCACGCAUAUCCGGUCGCUCGCGUUUCCGCUCCACAUGCGCACGUCGCUUUAAGUUUGGCGCGAAAGCGCGCGCCGUGUCGUGUCGACGGCCCAGCUGGCGCCAGCAGCGUCCUGGAAAACAGAAAGCCAAACCGGUCAUGAGAGGCUAGUUAACGACUGUGUGCCGCGCUCAUCACGCUUGCGAAGAUUCUGUUUUCUGGCGGAAUAUCGCGAUACAUUACGCGGACGCCGCGGGAACGACACGACGGCCAGCCGGUAUCUCGAAAGAUGGGAGCGUACCUGUCGGAGCCAAUUACGAAGAAGGAAUCGAGCGACGAAACGGGAAAAAAUGUCGCGUACGGCGCGAGCUCCAUGCAGGGCUGGCGAAUCAGUCAGGAGGAUGCACACAAUUGUUGCAUAGAUUUCGAUGACAAUUGCUCACUGUUCGCCGUAUACGAUGGUCAUGGUGGACAUGAAGUAGCAACAUAUUGUUCGCGUUACCUUCCUGACUUCAUUAAACAGACGGAAGCUUACAAAAGAGGGGACAUCAGGCAAGCUCUAAUAGAUGCUUUCCUGGGUUUUGAUGCUACUCUCACAAAACCAGAGGUAGUCAAAAUUCUCCAUGAACUUGCAGAAACAUCAACGACAGAGAAGAAAGAAGGUGACAACGAGUCUGAUGAGGAAGAGAAUGUUAGUAAUCUGUGUAUGGAAGCGACAAUGCCGUUGGAGCAAGUAAUGGCAAAGUAUAAGUCAGAGAUGUUGAACACUCAUAUAAAAAGCCUGAAAGGUGAGAAGUGCGGGAAGCGCGCAUUUGCGAGUCCUUUCCUGCGAGGUCGAAGGGAACGAGAGAAAGCAACCUGUUCGUCUCUUGGCGCAGGAUGUUCGUCGUCGCCAUCUCCACCACCUCCAUCAUCGUCAUCCUCGUCGACUACGGCUGCCUGGAAUACCAACGAAACAGAUGUUAGUAGUUCCAGUCAACCGUGUGGAUCAACUCUGUCUAGCACAGUGGAGCAAAAAGAAUCCGAAUGUCCAGGAAGCAAUGAAGCCGAGCAAGUACUAGAUUCGACGACAAGCAAUGGCAAUGCUGCUCAUGUAUCACCACCAGUAGGAUCUACUGCGGAUGUAGAACCUGCUAAAUCAAUGGAUAUGCCCGACAGUUCGGAGGACGUGAAAGAGAAAGUUUCGAGUCCCGGCAAGACGCCGCCAUGUGCGGAGUCUAAUGUGAACGAAGUGGAAGUUAAUGGCGAGGAAUUGAAAAGGAUCGGAGAUGCAGAUAGCAGUAAGGGUGGAGGAGACAAUGUAUCUAGCAGUUCCUGCACUCCCGUAGAAAAUGGUGAUGCAGAUCAGCAAGAACGAAUAACUAGCAGUGGUCGAAGAAGAAUUCAACCUGUGGAUCUUUACCAAAGCUUACUGAAAAAGGACAGUGAUGAUUCCGAAGAAGACGAGGACGAUGAUGAAAAUGACGAGACGUUUGAUGGUGUUCCUGAAAGUGACGAGGAUGAUACAGAAGAUAUUGACGAAGAUGAAACCGAUGAUGAUGAGGAAAUCGAAGAAGAAGAUAUAGAUGAUUCUGAUGAGGAUCCUGACAUUAUGAUAAACAUAGAAAAGCCUGGUUCGGAUAGCGGAUGCACAGCAGUGGUAGCGAUACUCAAAGGAAACGAGUUAUAUGUAGCCAAUGCUGGAGAUUCUCGAUGUGUUUUAUGCAGAGAUGGUCAGGCAGUUGAGCUUAGCUUGGAUCACAAACCCGAAGACGCACCAGAAAUGGAACGUAUAGUAAAAGCAGGUGGAGAAGUGACAGGCGACGGUAGAGUGAAUGGCGGUCUCAAUCUUUCGAGGGCGCUCGGUGAUCAUUCGUAUAAGCAAAAUAUGGUAUUACCAGCCGAAGAACAAAUGAUUUCCGCUUUACCAGACGUAAGGCAUAUUACGAUUGAACCAGCAAAAGACGAAUUUAUGGUGCUCGCAUGCGAUGGUAUAUGGAACUUUAUGACCAGUCAAAACGUUGUCCAGUUCGUGCGCACUCGUUUGUCGCAAAAUUACGAGAACAUCUCGAAAAUCUGUGAAGAGCUAUUUGAUCAUUGCCUUGCACCGGAUACUCUUGGUGAUGGAACAGGUUGCGACAACAUGACUGCCGUAAUAGUUAAGUUUACAAUGCCGGCGGCCGCAACUGCUAAAAGUAACACCGUUGCUGAAGUAUGCGUCACAAAAAAGCGGUCAAUCUCACCAGCUGUUGAGGAAAAUAACGAGUGCAUCGCGGAAGAAAACACAGUAAACUCUUGUAAACGCGUCAAGACCGAGGCAGCUAUGUAAAUCAAGAGUCACCACGUGUCAUGAACUGAUCUCCGGAAGCGGACAAAUUAAUAAAUACUUUGGUUCCAAAUGUCACUCGAGAGAUUUAUACAAAUCGAUAUGAUAAAAUAAUUAUCAUUAUAGAUAUGACAAUUACGGCAG